GACGAACGCUGGCGGCGUGCUUAACACAUGCAAGUCGAGCGGUAAGGCCCUUUCGGGGGUACACGAGCGGCGAACGGGUGAGUAACACGUGGGUGACCUGCCCUCAGCUCUGGGAUAAGCCUGGGAAACUGGGUCUAAUACUGGAUAUGACUCCACGGUGCAUGUCGUGGGGUGGAAAGCCUUGUGCGGCUGAGGAUGGGCCCGCCGCCUAUCAGCUUGUUGGUGGGGUGANGGCCUACCAAGGCGACGACGGGUAGCCGGCCUGAGAGGGCGACCGGCCACACUGGGACUGAGACACGGCCCAGACUCCUACGGGAGGCAGCAGUGGGGAAUCUUGCGCAAUGGGCGAAAGCCUGACGCAGCGACGCCGCGUGAGGGAUGACGGCCU
This 388-nucleotide ribosomal RNA is filed under the name uncultured bacterium. RNAcentral's name for it is "bacterial SSU rRNA". It matches the Rfam family "Bacterial small subunit ribosomal RNA", at positions 28 to 417 of the family's 1533-position model. The record is from RNAcentral.